Molecule: ribosomal RNA, 275 nt
Filed under: uncultured bacterium
Lineage: Bacteria
Description: partial 16S ribosomal RNA
Rfam family: Bacterial small subunit ribosomal RNA
Source: RNAcentral
CCUACGGGUGGCUGCAGUAGGGAAUAUUGGGCAAUGGACGAGAGUCUGACCCAGCCAUGCCGCGUGCAGGAUGACGGCCUUCUGGGUUGUAAACUGCUUUUAUCUGGGAAGAAAAGGCCCAUGCGUGGGACAUUGCCGGUACCAGAUGAAUAAGCACCGGCUAACUCCGUGCCAGCAGCCGCGGUAAUACGGAGGGUGCAAGCGUUGUCCGGAUUUAUUGGGUUUAAAGGGUGCGUAGGCGGCCUUUUAAGUCAGCGGNGAAAGACCCCGGCUCA